UCUUGACAUCCCGGAGACCCUUAGGAAACUAGGGGUGCUUCCAUCUGGAAGAAUCUGGAGACAGGUGCUGCAUGGCUGUCGUCAGCUCGUGUCGUGAGAUGUUGGGUUAAGUCCCGCAACGAGCGCAACCCUUGCCUUUAGUUGCCAGCAGUUCGGCUGGGCACUCUAAAGGGACUGCCGGUGUUAAACCGGAGGAAGUGGGGAUGACGUCAAGUCCUCAUGGCCUUUAUGACCAGGGCUACACACGUACUACAAUGGCCGAUACAAAGGGCAGCGACACUGCGAGGUGAAGCCAAUCCCGUAAAAUCGGUCUCAGUCCGGAUUGGAGUCUGCAACUCGACUCCAUGAAGUUGGAAUCGCUAGUAAUCGUGGAUCAGCAUGCCACGGUGAAUACGUUCCCGGGCCUU
This 407-nucleotide ribosomal RNA is filed under the name uncultured Desulfobulbus sp. Its description in RNAcentral is "bacterial SSU rRNA". It matches the Rfam family "Bacterial small subunit ribosomal RNA", at positions 979 to 1382 of the family's 1533-position model. The record is from RNAcentral. Lineage: Bacteria; Pseudomonadati; Thermodesulfobacteriota; Desulfobulbia; Desulfobulbales; Desulfobulbaceae.